GGGCCCGCACAAGCGGUGGAGCAUGUGGUUUAAUUCGAUGAUACGCGAGGAACCUUACCAAGGUUUAAAUGUAGAACGAUCGAUGUGGAAACACAUCUUUCUUCGGACGGUCUACAAGGUGCUGCAUGGUUGUCGUCAGCUCGUGCUGUGAAGUGUCGGGUUAAGUCCCAUAACGAGCGCAACCCCUAUCUUUAGUUGCCAGCGAUUCGGUCGGGGACUCUAAAGAAACUGCCGGCGUAAGCCGCGAGGAAGGUGGGGAUGACGUCAAAUCAUCACGGCCCUUACAUCUUGGGCUACACACGUGCUACAAUGGCGAGGACAACGAGAAGCAAACCGGCGACGGUGAGCAAAUCUAAAAACCUCGUCUCAGUUCGGAUCGGAGUCUGCAACUCGACUCCGUGAAGUUGGAAUCGCUAGUAAUCGCGCAU
This 428-nucleotide ribosomal RNA is filed under the name uncultured bacterium. Its description in RNAcentral is "bacterial SSU rRNA". It matches the Rfam family "Bacterial small subunit ribosomal RNA", at positions 917 to 1349 of the family's 1533-position model. The record is from RNAcentral.